CAUGUUGUAGUAAGUUAUGCA
Molecule: non-coding RNA, 21 nt
Filed under: Arabidopsis thaliana (thale cress)
Lineage: Eukaryota; Viridiplantae; Streptophyta; Magnoliopsida; Brassicales; Brassicaceae
Source: RNAcentral